Long non-coding RNA from Maylandia zebra (zebra mbuna), 759 nucleotides. RefSeq lists it as uncharacterized. The record is from RefSeq and is a predicted model, not a curated record. NCBI's taxonomy places the organism in Eukaryota, Metazoa, Chordata, Actinopteri, Cichliformes, Cichlidae.
ACAAGAAGGUUUCACGGCUUGUGCCUGCUCAUGCGCAAGACUUCAAAUUUAACUGAAAAAGGCUGUUUUGGCGCCAAGCUGCUGUUUCUUUGAGAGAUCCUGCCUUUACCUGCUCCCUCCUAUACUGAUGUGGUGUAUGUGGUAUUGCUGAGCUUGUAUGUGGUGGAAGCAGAAUAUGUGAGGAUUACUACUGCUGCACAUGUUCCAAGGCUUUUUACACAACUUGACCAAUACACUGACCAGCUCAUAAAAGUCUUCAAGAAAAAAGGAGGCGUUGCAGGGAAGAAAAUUAGACAAACUUUGGCCCCAGCCACACAGAAGGAAAGUAUUGAAAAGGGGAGGGAGUGUGUCCUCAGGGCACUACCUUUUUACCUGAAUGAAGACCCAAGCAUCCUCUUCAAAGAAUAAUUGCUACAGCUGUUCAGAGGGAGCUGGAACAAAUUACCCUUGCUAUCUUUACCAUCGAAAGAGCUGAUGCCAGCACUCCUCCAGCCGAUGUGGGUAUAACCAUCUAGUGUGUCCUGCAUGACCUGGAAGACCUGGCCUCUGCAUGUGCACUCUUAAUGGGUGGGAUAUAUGCACUGAAUCUCAGUUAACCUCAAGACUGAAAGCUUUCUUUGAAGUACUUCAGAAGCUCUUCCUUCAUCUGUAUGUCAGCAUACUCUUGACCAAGGUACAGUUGCUCAAGAAUACACUGAAUGAAUAAGCCAACCUUUAAUUUGGAUGAUGAAUGUUCUGUCAGAUGGACAGAAGUUUUUU